RNAcentral lists this ribosomal RNA (252 nucleotides) under uncultured bacterium. RNAcentral's name for it is "partial 16S ribosomal RNA". It matches the Rfam family "Bacterial small subunit ribosomal RNA", at positions 524 to 776 of the family's 1533-position model. The record is from RNAcentral.
UACGUAGGUUCCGAGCGUUGUCCGGAUUUAUUGGGCGUAAAGCGAGCGCAGGUGGUUUAUUAAGUCUGGUGUAAAAGGCAGUGGCUCAACCAUUGUAUGCAUUGGAAACUGGUAGACUUGAGUGCAGGAGAGGAGAGUGGAAUUCCAUGUGUAGCGGUGAAAUGCGUAGAUAUAUGGAGGAACGCCGGUGGCGAAAGCGGCUCUCUGGCCUGUAACUGACACUGAGGCUCGAAAGCGUGGGGAGCAAACAGG